RNAcentral lists this ribosomal RNA (739 nucleotides) under Japanagallia multispina. RNAcentral's name for it is "12S ribosomal RNA". The record is from RNAcentral. Lineage: Eukaryota; Metazoa; Arthropoda; Insecta; Hemiptera; Cicadellidae.
ACUAGUUUGAUUCUAGCUAGAAUAUUAAUUUAUAUGAAAGAUUACAUGUAUAAAAUUUAUAAAUUUAUAAUUUAUUUCAGUAAUAAGUAUUUAUUAAGUAAAAAAUUUUUAUGUAAGUUAUUUUAUUAAAAUGGAUUAAUGUUGUGCCAGCAUUCGCGGUUAUACAAUUUAUUUACGUUAAUAAUUUAGGUUAAAGAAUUAUUAAUAUUUUGGAUUUUUAAAAUAUAUAAAUUUAGGUGGAAUUUAUUUUUAAUAAAUUAAUCUAUAAAAAUUAUUUGUAAACCAUAAUAUUAAACUAGGAUUAGAUACCCUAUUAUUUUUGGCUUAUUUUAAGCAGGACAUUAGUAGAUAUUUACUAUUAAAUUCAAAGAAUUUGGCGGUGAUUUAUAUCUUAUUAGAGGAACCUGAAUUUUAAUCGAUAAACCACGAUAAUUUUUACCUUACUUAUAUUUGUAUAUCUCUAUACAUGGAAUGUUUUAUAAAGGAUAUUUUCUUUUAUUUUGAGAAUGUAUUUUAGGUCAAGGUGCAGUUUUAGUAAGGAUAGUUUGGGUUACUUUAGUUUUAUUUGUAAAUUACAUUUAUAAUUUUAUAAUUAUAUUUAAAUAGGAUUUAAUAGUAAUUUUAUCUAAUUAGAUAAUUUGAAUAUAGUUUUAAUUCAUGUACAUAUCGCCCGUCACUCCUGGUAAAACUGGAUAAGUCGUAACAAAGUAAUUUUACCGGAAGGUAAGGUUAGUUAAAG